AAUAGAUACCCGGGUAGUCCACGCCGUAAACGAUGAGUACUAGUUAUUGGAGGUAUUGACUCCUUCAGUGACGCAGCUAACGCAUUAAGUACUCCGCCUGGGAAGUACGGUCGCAAGACUAAAACUCAAACAAAUUGACGGGGGCCCGCACAAGCGGUGGAUUAUGUGGUUUAAUUCGAAGCAACGCGCAGAACCUUACCUAGGCUUGAACUCCUACGAAUCCGGGGUAAUGCCUGGAGUGUCCGCAAGGAAAUGUAGUGAGAGGUGCUGCAUGGCUGUCGUCAGCUCGUGUUGUGAAAUGUUGGGUUAAGUCUCGCAACGAGCGCAACCCCUAUCGUCUGUUGCCAGCAUUAAGUUGGGCACUCUGACGAGACUGCCUGGGUUAACCAGGAGGAAGGUGGGGAUGACGUCAAGUCCUCAUGGCCCUUAUGUCUAGGGCUACACACGUAAUACAAUGGCGCGUACAAAGGGAAGCGAACUCGCAAGGGGAAGCAAAUCUCAAAAAGCGCGCCUCAGUUCGGAUUGGAGUCUGC
RNAcentral lists this ribosomal RNA (533 nucleotides) under uncultured bacterium. RNAcentral's name for it is "bacterial SSU rRNA". It matches the Rfam family "Bacterial small subunit ribosomal RNA", at positions 777 to 1308 of the family's 1533-position model. The record is from RNAcentral.